This 376-nucleotide transfer-messenger RNA is filed under the name Rubrivirga litoralis. It matches the Rfam family "transfer-messenger RNA". Rfam says of the family: Bacterial tmRNA, also known as 10Sa RNA or SsrA, is named for its dual tRNA and mRNA-like properties. Its role is to liberate the mRNA from a stalled ribosome. Lineage: Bacteria; Pseudomonadati; Rhodothermota; Rhodothermia; Rhodothermales; Rubricoccaceae. The record is from RNAcentral. RNAcentral also lists the same sequence under 1 other name.
GGGGAUGACUUGGUUUCGACGAGAGACGUGUGCGGCGAGCUGCGCGCCGGGUGGUGUCCGAUACGCCCGUGACACCCAUCGGACCGCACUUGUAGCUGCGAACGACUACUCCUACUCGCUGGCCGCGUAAACACGCCGCUAGCUGUCUCGCACAGUGGGUGCUCACUGUCGCUGUGCGAGACACCGACUAGAGUGAGCUGGUCCCGGAGGCUCCGGCUGAGCCGAACGGACGAGAACCAACCAGCCUGCGUUUGACCGGAAGCCCGUCGGCGGGCCACGCCGGACAAGCAAAGACCUUUAAAGCGCCGACUACGCGUGUAGACGCUCGGACUGUAGCGUUUCUCGGACCCGGGUUCGACUCCCGGCAUCUCCACAA